Molecule: ribosomal RNA, 492 nt
Filed under: uncultured bacterium
Lineage: Bacteria
Description: bacterial SSU rRNA
Rfam family: Bacterial small subunit ribosomal RNA
Source: RNAcentral
GAUGAACGCUGGCGGCAUGCCUAAGACAUGCAAGUCGAACGAGACGACCUUUGGAAGACUGAGUGCUUGCACAAAGUUAGAAGAAGAUCAUCGUCUAGUGGCAGACGGGUGAGUAACACGUGGGUAACCUACCUUCAAGCUGGGGAUAACAGUUGGAAACGACUGCUAAUACCGAAUAAGAUAUAGCAAUAUAUUGAAGAAGCCUUUAAAGCUUCACUUAAAGAUGGGCCUGCGGCGUAUUAACUAGUUGGUGAGGUAAAUGGCUCACCAAGGUAACGAUGCGUAGCCGAACUGAGAGGUUGAACGGCCACACUGGGGAACUGAGACACGGCCCAGACUCCUACGGGAGACAGUCAGUUAGGAAUAUUCGUCAAUGGGGGAAACCCUGAACGAGCAAUGCCGCGUGAGUGAUGAAGGCCCUAAUGGUUGUAAAACUCUGUUGUAUGGGAAGAACGGCUAUAUUAGGAAAUUGAAUAUAGACGUGACGGUACC